UUAAGUUAUUAAGGGCGCACGGUGGAUGCCUUGGCACUAGAAGCCGAUGAAGGACGUUACUAACGACGAUAUGCUUUGGGGAGCUGUAAGUAAGCUUUGAUCCAGAGAUUUCCGAAUGGGGAAACCCAGCAUGAGUUAUGUCAUGUUAUCGAUAUGUGAAUACAUAGCAUAUCAGAAGGCACACCCGGAGAACUGAAACAUCUUAGUACCCGGAGGAAGAGAAAGAAAAUUCGAUUCCCUUAGUAGCGGCGAGCGAAACGGGAAGAGCCCAAACCAACAAGCUUGCUUGUUGGGGUUGUAGGACACUCUAUACGGAGUUACAAAGGACGACAUUAGACGAAUCAUCUGGAAAGAUGAAUCAAAGAAGGUAAUAAUCCUGUAGUCGAAAAUGUUGUCUCUCUUGAGUGGAUCCUGAGUACGACGGAGCACGUGAAAUUCCGUCGGAAUCUGGGAGGACCAUCUCCUAAGGCUAAAUACUCUCUAGUGACCGAUAGUGAACCAGUACCGUGAGGGAAAGGUGAAAAGCACCCCGGAAGGGGAGUGAAAUAGAACCUGAAACCGUGUGCUUACAAGUAGUCAGAGCCCGUUAAUGGGUGAUGGCGUGCCUUUUGUAGAAUGAACCGGCGAGUUACGAUUUGAUGCAAGGUUAAGCAGUAAAUGUGGAGCCGUAGCGAAAGCGAGUCUGAAUAGGGCGUUUAGUAUUUGGUCGUAGACCCGAAACCAGGUGAUCUACCCUUGGUCAGGUUGAAGUUCAGGUAACACUGAAUGGAGGACCGAACCGACUUACGUUGAAAAGUGAGCGGAUGAACUGAGGGUAGCGGAGAAAUUCCAAUCGAACCUGGAGAUAGCUGGUUCUCUCCGAAAUAGCUUUAGGGCUAGCCUCAAGUGAUGAUUAUUGGAGGUAGAGCACUGUUUGGACGAGGGGCCCCUCUCGGGUUACCGAAUUCAGACAAACUCCGAAUGCCAAUUAAUUUAACUUGGGAGUCAGAACAUGGGUGAUAAGGUCCGUGUUCGAAAGGGAAACAGCCCAGACCACCAGCUAAGGUCCCAAAAUAUAUGUUAAGUGGAAAAGGAUGUGGCGUUGCCCAGACAACUAGGAUGUUGGCUUAGAAGCAGCCAUCAUUUAAAGAGUGCGUAAUAGCUCACUAGUCGAGUGACACUGCGCCGAAAAUGUACCGGGGCUAAACAUAUUACCGAAGCUGUGGAUUGUCCUUUGGACAAUGGUAGGAGAGCGUUCUAAGGGCGUUGAAGCAUGAUCGUAAGGACAUGUGGAGCGCUUAGAAGUGAGAAUGCCGGUGUGAGUAGCGAAAGACGGGUGAGAAUCCCGUCCACCGAUUGACUAAGGUUUCCAGAGGAAGGCUCGUCCGCUCUGGGUUAGUCGGGUCCUAAGCUGAGGCCGACAGGCGUAGGCGAUGGAUAACAGGUUGAUAUUCCUGUACCACCUAUAAUCGUUUUAAUCGAUGGGGGGACGCAGUAGGAUAGGCGAAGCGUGCGAUUGGAUUGCACGUCUAAGCAGUAAGGCUGAGUAUUAGGCAAAUCCGGUACUCAUUAAGGCUGAGCUGUGAUGGGGAGAAGACAUUGUGUCUUCGAGUCGUUGAUUUCACACUGCCGAGAAAAGCCUCUAGAUAGAAAAUAGGUGCCCGUACCGCAAACCGACACAGGUAGUCAAGAUGAGAAUUCUAAGGUGAGCGAGCGAACUCUCGUUAAGGAACUCGGCAAAAUGACCCCGUAACUUCGGGAGAAGGGGUGCUCUUUAGGGUUAACGCCCAGAAGAGCCGCAGUGAAUAGGCCCAAGCGACUGUUUAUCAAAAACACAGGUCUCUGCUAAACCGUAAGGUGAUGUAUAGGGGCUGACGCCUGCCCGGUGCUGGAAGGUUAAGAGGAGUGGUUAGCUUCUGCGAAGCUACGAAUCGAAGCCCCAGUAAACGGCGGCCGUAACUAUAACGGUCCUAAGGUAGCGAAAUUCCUUGUCGGGUAAGUUCCGACCCGCACGAAAGGCGUAACGAUUUGGGCACUGUCUCAACGAGAGACUCGGUGAAAUCAUAGUACCUGUGAAGAUGCAGGUUACCCGCGACAGGACGGAAAGACCCCGUGGAGCUUUACUGUAGCCUGAUAUUGAAAUUCGGCACAGCUUGUACAGGAUAGGUAGGAGCCUUUGAAACGUGAGCGCUAGCUUACGUGGAGGCGCUGGUGGGAUACUACCCUAGCUGUGUUGGCUUUCUAACCCGCACCACUUAUCGUGGUGGGAGACAGUGUCAGGCGGGCAGUUUGACUG
RNAcentral lists this ribosomal RNA (2275 nucleotides) under Staphylococcus aureus VET0243R. RNAcentral's name for it is "bacterial LSU rRNA". It matches the Rfam family "Bacterial large subunit ribosomal RNA", at positions 3 to 2276 of the family's 2925-position model. Lineage: Bacteria; Bacillati; Bacillota; Bacilli; Caryophanales; Staphylococcaceae. The record is from RNAcentral.